UACAGCCACAUCAUGUUGAAACACCAGUUUUUGUACAAUCACCAAAGUUAAGCAAUGUCAAGCCUGGCCAGUAUGUAGAUGGGUGACCACUUAGGAAUACCAGGUGCUGUAGG
Molecule: non-coding RNA, 113 nt
Organism: Acanthosepion pharaonis
Lineage: Eukaryota; Metazoa; Mollusca; Cephalopoda; Sepiida; Sepiidae
Source: the annotation of a GenBank genome assembly